CAUGAGUAGUUUUGGACCCGUGUCUGCCGGUAGAUCCCCCGACUCUUUGUGCGGCCGACUACCGGCGCCGUGUCCCGUCAUUCGUGUGGCUUAUGCUGCUGUUGCCUUUAAGUGCUUGCGUGCUGGUACCCGACCUACGGGAAGUGGUGCUUCUUACACGGUUAACUCGCGGCUUACACCUCCGGGUGUGAUGCUGCGGCCUGCUAGCGCUUGCGGCGUUUCCUCGUGGCCGUCACGCUUAAGUGCUGUCUGCUACCAAGGAAACCUCGCUCUCGCUGUUGGUCUCGGAUGCUGCUCACGAUAUAGUGUCAUGGCCCUUCUGGAUGUCUCGACACGACCCCCUCGAGACCUGCUCUCCGAAUUUGAGAACACCCGUGAACAGGUGUUGCCUCUACCUCUCCACAGUUAGUGGUAGGAUUACGCAACAUUCUGCGCCGAUCCUCAAUAAAGUAGGACGAGCUUGACCCUCGAGACAUGCUCUCCGAAUUUGAGAAAACCCGUGAACAGGUGUUGCCUCUACCUCUCCACAGUUAGUGGUAGGAUUACGCAACAUUCUGCGCCGAUCCUCAAUCAAGUAGGAUGAGCUUGGCCCGAUCAUUCGCGACAACCGGCUCGGAAGUUGCCUCAGCCUAUCCGCGGAAGUGGACGGGCGGACAAAGACCGAAGCUGGACGUCAACGAGGACGGNUN
RNAcentral lists this unclassified non-coding RNA (689 nucleotides) under Festuca summilusitana. RNAcentral's name for it is "partial external transcribed spacer". Lineage: Eukaryota; Viridiplantae; Streptophyta; Magnoliopsida; Poales; Poaceae. The record is from RNAcentral.